Molecule: small nuclear RNA, 163 nt
Organism: Aotus nancymaae (Ma's night monkey)
Lineage: Eukaryota; Metazoa; Chordata; Mammalia; Primates; Aotidae
Gene: U1
Rfam family: U1 spliceosomal RNA
About the family: U1 is a small nuclear RNA (snRNA) component of the spliceosome (involved in pre-mRNA splicing). Its 5' end forms complementary base pairs with the 5' splice junction, thus defining the 5' donor site of an intron.
Source: Ensembl
ACACUUAUCUGGCAGUGGAGAUACCCUGAUCAUGAAGAUGUUUUUCCCAGGGUGAGGCUUACCCACUGCACUGCAGAUGUGCUGACCCCUGCACUUUCCCCAGAUGCAGGAAACGCAACUGCAUAAUUUGUGGUAGAGGGGACUUCGUUCAUGCUUCCCCUGU